GCUAAAAUGUUGCCCCCACCCCAUAUCUAGGUUGGGGCUCUCUUGCAAUUAACAACCAAAUAUUUGUUACAUUGCAUGAACUCUUUUGUGUUGUAGGCUCACAUGGCUGCAGUCGAGGAUGUUUCAUGGCACUUGGAAAAUGAGAAAAUUUUUACUUCUGUUGGAGAUGUUCAUAUCUUGAUGAUAUGGAACUUGCGCACAUCAAAGCCACAACAUUCAAUUCAAGCACAUGAAGAUGAGGAUCCUUAUCAUAGGCUUGGUCAAGCCAUGGGUCUGGCUUUCUCAGUACCAGAGGUAUCAAGGUUCCAUCAAGCCUAGUCAAGAUGGACAGUGCAGAUGUGGCUGUUGACACCUUGUUGAACUCAUUCUUGUCAAGAGCACAGAACAAGACGUUCAUUACUUUAGGAUCCAAAUUUGUAUUGUUCCUUUGAGAUGUAGUCUAUUCCAUAAAAGGAGUAGUUGACUUCUCGUAUUUUGUUUCCACAAUGUUC
Asparagus officinalis (garden asparagus) is the source of this 491-nucleotide long non-coding RNA. RefSeq lists it as uncharacterized. Lineage: Eukaryota; Viridiplantae; Streptophyta; Magnoliopsida; Asparagales; Asparagaceae. The transcript is spliced from 3 exons. The record is from RefSeq and is a predicted model, not a curated record.